This 203-nucleotide ribosomal RNA is filed under the name uncultured Bacteroidota bacterium. RNAcentral describes it as "uncultured Bacteroidetes bacterium partial 16S ribosomal RNA". It matches the Rfam family "Bacterial small subunit ribosomal RNA", at positions 298 to 498 of the family's 1533-position model. The record is from RNAcentral. Lineage: Bacteria; Pseudomonadati; Bacteroidota.
GGAAGGUCCCCCACAUUGGAACUGAGACACGGUCCAAACUCCUACGGGAGGCAGCAGUGAGGAAUAUUGGUCAAUGGGCGAGAGCCUGAACCAGCCAAGUAGCGUGAAGGACGACUGCCCUAUGGGUUGUAAACUUCUUAUAUAGAGGAAUAAAGUCGGGUAUGCAUACCCGUUUGCAUGUACUUUAUGAAUAAGGAUCGGCU